RNAcentral lists this ribosomal RNA (253 nucleotides) under uncultured bacterium. RNAcentral's name for it is "partial 16S ribosomal RNA". It matches the Rfam family "Bacterial small subunit ribosomal RNA", at positions 524 to 776 of the family's 1533-position model. The record is from RNAcentral.
UACGGGGGGGGUAAGCGUUGUUCGGAAUUACUGGGCGUAAAGGGCUCGUAGGCGGCCAACUAAGUCGGACGUGAAAUCCCUCAGCUUAACUGGGGAACUGCGUCCGAUACUGGAUGGCUUGGAUUUGGGAGAGGGAUGCGGAAUUCCAGGUGUAGCGGUGAAAUGCGUAGAUAUCUGGAGGAACACCGGUGGCGAAGGCGGCAUCCUGGACCAAUAUUGACGCUGAGGAGCGAAAGCCAGGGGAGCGAACGGG